This is an RNA transcript of Choloepus didactylus (southern two-toed sloth), 2865 nucleotides long. It is a transcript of the gene named CD99 molecule (Xg blood group), with no coding region annotated. The transcript has 10 exons. Lineage: Eukaryota; Metazoa; Chordata; Mammalia; Pilosa; Megalonychidae. The record is from RefSeq and is a predicted model, not a curated record.
UCACGCCUCCCUCCAGCCCCGCUGUCAGUCCCCUCGCGCGGGUUCCCCUAAGGCUCCCGGAGGCCGCGGCCAGGCGCCGAGUGGCCUCGGGGACAGAGCCCGGGACGCAGGCGGGGAAAGCGGAGGCGGGGCGGGAGCGCUUCCCUAUCCCCAGCACCCUCCCCGCCCCGGCCCCGCCCCCGCCCCGGCCAGACCAGCUCCCUCCCGCGGCCACCGUCUGAGCUCGCCACUCCAGAACUGCCCCGCGCGCUCGGGGCGCACCAUGGCGCGGCUGGCCGUCCUCGCGCUGCUGCUUGUCGGUCUGUUCUGCUCUCUGGCGCCCGCCCAGGAUGAAGAUUUUGAUUUAUCCGAUGCUAUUCCUGACAAGGAUGACAAGAAACCCACCCAUGCGCCACCCAAAAAGCCCCCCUCGGCUGAUGAUGGCUUCAACUUAGAAGACGCCCUGACUGGUGGAGGAAAAAAUGACCCAGCCAAGCCGAAGCCGAAUCCGAAACCUGGCUCCUCUGAUGGUUUCUCAGAUUCUGACCCCUCUGACAGGACUUCAGAUGGAAGUGACCUCACGGCAAUGCUCUCCGGAAUCACGGUGCCCGCGGUUGUGGCGGUGCUAGGGGCCAUCUCCAGUUUCAUCGCUUACCAGAAAAAGAAGCUGUGCUUCAAAGAAAGCAGUGCUGAUGUUUUAUAAAAUCACGAUGGCAGCCACAUCAGAUUUUCCAGCAGAUGAAAAUGAUGUCAACAUGGAAAACCAUCCCAUCACCAAAGCCAAGCCACUGAUUCCGUGAACUCUUCUGGAGAAAUAGAGCUCUGCAAGCAAAACCAAACCGGACUUCACAGCAGGAUCGGACAACGAGCCUUCUGCUCAUUCCCAGCGAACAUCUUGCAGGCAGAGGCACGUCUACUCACGUCGGAUCCUUUCAUUUUAACCUUGAGCUCUGUCUCCCCUGUUACAGUGCAGUGAGGUUUCCUUACCAUGAAUUUUGCAACCAGAGGGAACUUGAGCUCAUUCCCCAAGGCUCGUGGGGGUUCUUCGUGGGAUGUGAGGGGUUGACCUUUAUAAAGCCCCAGGUGCUCAAAUAACAACCCAAGUCAAUGCAGUGACCCAGGGUCAUUUACUAAUUAUAUCAAUAUUGAACACAUCUGAAAUUUCCAUACAAUUGAUCUUUUAUAAAGUAAGGUAAGCCUUCGGUGUGUUUCCUCAAAAUUUCUUUUAUUUGUUAAGAUUUUUCAUACCAGACUAAUUAGAAAUUGGAAAUUUGCUUUUUACUUACAUGUUUUGCCAUUUGGUGAUGUUUAAAGAAGGCUGUAGAAAGUAGUGGCGUGUGGAUUCCACGUUCCCUUUAUAGAGGCUUUUAGAGGAAGGAUCAAACUGAGUGCUAGCUCUUUAGUUUCAGGGUUUCCUUUCUCUGCCCUUUUCUUUCUAACUGUCCUGCCACCUCAGGGACAGGUACACCCCCACAUCCAGCUACUCCCCACAUCCAGAGACUACUCCCUACACCUAGAUAGUCCCUGCAUCCAGAUACUCCUCCCACAUUCAGAUACUCCCACACAUCCAGCUACUCCCCACACCCAGAUACUCUCCUGCAUCCAAAUUUCCCCACAUCCAGAUACCCCUGCACUCAGACACACCCCUGCACACAGAUACUCCCCCCAUAUUCAGAUACUCCCCUGCCUUCUUAUGGAUUUCAUGCCAAUAAAUGUCAUGGAUUUGUCAACUGCACAGUCUUUACUAAAUGUUCAAUAACUUUGAUGUGAGAGUGUGGUUUAACUACACAGUAAAGUCGCUUUGUGACAGAGGAUCUCUUUAUACAGUUUCUAACAUGCCGGAAUUAGCUGAAAGCAUCGUUUUCUCCAUGCAGUAAAGGAUGGCUUUUCCUCAUUUAGAAGCAUUUCUCCAUGUAAGGUUAGGGCUACACAGCAAGGCUUUUCAAAUCCGUGUUUUUAUGUGAAGGCUUGGGAAGGGCCUCAUUUUGAAUUCUGUUUUAAUUUUAUAAAGGAUAGAGGCUCUGAUAUUCCCCAGUAGAGUUGACCUCAUCAAUAAGCUUUUCUUCCCUGAAGAUUUAGGAUCUUGUCAGGGAUGCUUCCAUGUUUAUAGACAAGCUAAUGCAAAGUCUUAGAAGGCUGUUAUACAGAGGCAUAACAAUUUCAGCAAAAUGCUUAAUGUUAUCACUGAUGAUAGUGUAAAAAGCUGAUGUAUGUCACCAAAGUCAGGGUUCACUAAAAUCAGACCUGCUUUGGUGGUUAGCACAAAUCAACUGAAUUUGGGAAGGGGUAAGGUUGGUGGGCAGAGCUGUUGGUCUUGAAUAAAUUUUGGGCCCAUGAAAUGGGAAAAAAAAUGGAUUGAAAACCCCAUUUAUUUGUGUGGUCAUCCAUUCAUUAUUUCAGUCAACAAAUACCCGGCACCCCCUAGGGGCCAGGUGAGCACAGAGAUGCACCUGACAUUCUAGAUUCCACUGGAUGUAACAGAAGUUUCGCAGGUAUCUUCCCUGGUCCAUCAGCCAACAUGCAACGGGGUUGCCCAGCCGUCAGCAGGCUUUAGGCUGGAUUAGAAACAUGCUCCAGGCCUUUUGCUAACUAGCAACAAACACAUUUUAUAAAAGUAAAGGAGCGUGUGCAGAGUCUUCUCAAAUGAAUUGUUAGGGAUUGUCUUCUAGCUCUGAUCCUGUACAUGGGCUUACUUUAUAAUUACAAAAAAAAUGCAUAAAGCCUACUUUGUCAUUCUUUGAAUAACAUUGACAUUUUAUAAGCAUUGAAAUCAUGUUAUGAACAUGCAUGUCUCAAAGUAAAAAGCAGAAUGGUAAAAGGAUUGGUAUUUUUUAAAGGAUUCCAAUUUUGGAUCAUGUAUAAAUAAAAAUAUAUGAUUAGGAAAUA